RNAcentral lists this ribosomal RNA (678 nucleotides) under Triticum aestivum (bread wheat). RNAcentral's name for it is "partial small subunit ribosomal RNA". Lineage: Eukaryota; Viridiplantae; Streptophyta; Magnoliopsida; Poales; Poaceae. The record is from RNAcentral.
AUGGAGGCAUUAUCACAUGCUCAUUUCGUCAAGCUAGCCGUCACUUUGUGGGCUAUUUGGUCGGCAAGGAGGAAGUCCAUCCACAAGGGGAUUUUUCGGAGUCCCCAGUCACUUUUCUCAUUCACCACCAGAUUCAUUGGAGAGCUGGAGAGUAUUAAAGAACGCAAACCGGGGACAGGAGGGGAUAUGCAACGUAGAACUCGUCCGAGAGCUCCUCCGGUGAACCAUGCAAAGCUUCAUGUGGAUGGGGUGAGACCAGGGCGAGGUGGUUCGGCAGCAGUUGUGUGCAGGGAUGCCGAGGGGAACUAGCUCGGUAGCACAGCCCUGGUGGUGCAAGGAGUGGAUGACCCAAUGAUUUUGGAGUCGAUAGCCUGCAGGGAGGCACUUUGUGCAGCUGAGGAUCUUCUGUUGCAGAGUUUUGUGGUCGCAUCAGACGCAAAACAGGUGGUGAGAGACAUUGCUGGAGUUUCCCACGGCAAACAUGGCGCAAUUAUCAGCGAGAUCAAAGCCCGUUCUACUGCUUUUUCCUGUAGUUUUAUUUUUGAAAGUCGAGGCAGUAACGUAGAAGCUCAUCGCUUAGCUAGGUACGCUCUUAAUCUAGCACCUGGGCGUCAUGUGUGGUUUGGCCAACCACAUAAUGUAAGCAUUAUCCCACUUUAUAUGGAAUUCGAUCAAUAA